This 335-nucleotide unclassified non-coding RNA is filed under the name soil metagenome. Its description in RNAcentral is "partial contains 5.8S ribosomal RNA, internal transcribed spacer 2, and large subunit ribosomal RNA". The stretch from base 1 to 120 matches the Rfam family "5.8S ribosomal RNA", at positions 35 to 154 of the family's 154-position model. The record is from RNAcentral.
GAUGAAGAACGUAGCGAAAUGCGAUAAGUAAUGUGAAUUGCAGAAUUCAGUGAAUCAUCGAAUCUUUGAACGUACAUUGCGCCCGCCAGUAUUCUGGCGGGCAUGCCUGUUCGAGCGUCAUUUCAACCAUCAAGCCCCCGGCUUGUGUUGGGGACCUGCGGCUGCCGCAGGCCCUGAAAACCAGUGGCGGGCUCGCUAGUCACUCCGAGCGUAGUAAUACAUCUCGCUCAGGGCGUGCUGCGGGUUCCGGCCGUUAAAAGCCUUAUUUUACCCAAGGUUGACCUCGGAUCAGGUAGGAAGACCCGCUGAACUUAAGCAUAUCAAUAAGCGGAGGA